UACGUAGGGCGCACGCGUUGUCCGGAAUUAUUGGGCGUAAAGAGCUCGUAGGCGGUUCGUCGCGUCGGCUGUGAAAACCCGGAGCUCAACUCCGGGCCUGCAGUCGAUACGGGCGGACUUGAGUGUUGCAGGGGAGACUGGAAUUCCUGGUGUAGCGGUGAAAUGCGCAGAUAUCAGGAGGAACACCGGUGGCGAAGGCGGGUCUCUGGGCAACUACUGACGCUGAGGAGCGAAAGCGUGGGGAGCGAACAGG
Molecule: ribosomal RNA, 253 nt
Filed under: uncultured bacterium
Lineage: Bacteria
Description: partial 16S ribosomal RNA
Rfam family: Bacterial small subunit ribosomal RNA
Source: RNAcentral